Brassica napus (rape) is the source of this 1571-nucleotide long non-coding RNA. RefSeq lists it as uncharacterized. The record is from RefSeq and is a predicted model, not a curated record. Lineage: Eukaryota; Viridiplantae; Streptophyta; Magnoliopsida; Brassicales; Brassicaceae. The transcript is spliced from 8 exons.
GUUUAUCAGUCUAAUUGGGCCUCUCACACAUGUUAUUAUACGCUGUGUUUUGGCUAUUAGGUUAGGCAGGGAGAGACUACACCUUAGCGCCGUCGACGUCUCAUCUUCCUCAAAACCGAUCGAUGACCUUCAAACCUCCCAUUAAACUCGGCCACGAUGUAGAUUCAAUGCGGGAUGGAUUUUAAUUGCAGAUGACGAUGGAGUCACUAUAUAAAGUGCGCUUGCUCCGCUUCUGGGAGGCCAAGAACGUCUGCCGUGGUGGAGAACUCAUGGGUGCUGUUAGUUGAUUCUCAGUCGACCAUGAUGCCGGCUACUGUGAAUGUUAACCGUCUCGCAGCACAUCAGCCUAAUCUGGAGGCGGGUUCGGUCUACUCUCUCACUGGAUUUUGAGGUCACACGAUGUAACCAGAACUACCGUCUGUCGGACUCCCAUAUUUUGAUCCGUUUUGCCGAGUCAACCUCUUUCAAGAAGAUCGCUGAACCGUAACUACAGUGAGCUGCUUGGACUUGCUAAUUCCAACAACCAGCUUCCGAGCUGUUUUUGAACGCCACAUCCGACACGCAUAUCUAUUUUGACAAAGCAACAUAUGCGGGCGAAAAAGAUUGUUUUACGAGUUGGUUGAGCAAAGCACGGGACUGGCACCAGUGGCUCCACUGCUGAAGAGUUAUGCUAAGGUGGAGAAGUUGAGCAUAUCUGAGCUCAACGAUUUUGUCCUCACUGCUGCGUCUCAGGACAUUGAUUUCAUUUGCAGUGGAAAGGUUACUGGAGUCAAGUUGGACAAAGGGUGGUGCUAUGUUUCAUGUUCAAAGUGUUUCAAGAAACUCCACCGGUCUGUCUCAACCCUCACGUGCCAGUCUUGCAACAAUACCAAUGCGGUUGGUGUUCUUCGGUACCGUGUGGAAAUGUCCAUUGCAGACAGUACUGGUGAGGCUUUGUUUGUUGCGUUUGAUGGAGUUAUGGCGAAGCUGUCAACCUCUUGGCUGGUGAUGGUGUCAACCCCGAAGAAGCUGACGCUCCCCCGUUCGUUCGAGACAUGGAGGGAAGGUCAUUCACAUUCCAGGUGAAGGUGGGCCCGUAUAAUUUCACGGCAAAUCAUCAAAGCUUCACCAUCUCACGCAUUCUCAGCGAGGGCGACCGCGAGCCACAGCCUGAUUUUGCUGAUGAUGGUGGUGACGAUGACAAUGGAGGUGACAACAACAAUGGAGAUGACAACAAUACUGGCUUGGUGAAGCGUAAGAUGGACUUUGGUGGAGGUAGCAAGUCUGGAGGACCAUCUGCUAAGGUGAAGAGGGCUCGGAAGGCUUAAGUGACUGCAGGAUGAAAGUUGCAUGUUUCCCUUUUCUAAUAAUAAUCAAGAUGUUUUCUUUAUGAGCAAGUACGCUUUUGCUAUUUAUACUCUGGUGUUUUGACUCUUUUGGCAUUUGAGUUUGCUUCUUUAUGGACAAGUUUGGGUUUUUAUUUUUUUUCUGCUUUUAGAUUAUUGGCUUAUGCAUUUUUCAUCUAUAGCAGAAUAUAUGUUGUUAAAUAGAUUUUGUUGGAUUAUUAGCUUAUGCAAUUUUUUUUGUUUUAA